Molecule: ribosomal RNA, 253 nt
Filed under: uncultured bacterium
Lineage: Bacteria
Description: partial 16S ribosomal RNA
Rfam family: Bacterial small subunit ribosomal RNA
Source: RNAcentral
UACGAAGGGGGCUAGCGGUGUUCGGAAUUACUGGGCGUAAAGGGCGCGUAGGCGGCCUGACAAGUCAGAGGUGAAAGUCCUGGGCUCAACCUGGGGACUGCCUUUGAAACUGUCGGGCUUGAGACCGGGAGAGGUGAGUGGAAUUCCCAGUGUAGAGGUGAAAUUCGUAGAUAUUGGGAAGAACACCAGUGGCGAAUUCGCCUCACUGUACCGGUUCUGACGCUGAGGCGCGAAAUCGUGGGGAGCAAACAGG